This 17-nucleotide unclassified non-coding RNA is filed under the name Mus musculus (house mouse). RNAcentral describes it as "oocyte_clustered_small_RNA6761". Lineage: Eukaryota; Metazoa; Chordata; Mammalia; Rodentia; Muridae. The record is from RNAcentral.
CUAGUCAGGUAGCAAGG